This 443-nucleotide ribosomal RNA is filed under the name uncultured bacterium. RNAcentral describes it as "partial 16S ribosomal RNA". It matches the Rfam family "Bacterial small subunit ribosomal RNA", at positions 338 to 795 of the family's 1533-position model. The record is from RNAcentral.
CCUACGGGAGGCUGCAGUGGGGAAUAUUGGGCAAUGGGCGCAAGCCUGACCCAGCAACGCCGCGUGAAGGAAGAAGGCUUUCGGGUUGUAAACUUCUUUUCUCAGGGACGAAGAAAGUGACGGUACCUGAGGAAUAAGCCACGGCUAACUACGUGCCAGCAGCCGCGGGAAUACGUAGGUGGCAAGCGUUAUCCGGAUUUACUGGGUGUAAAGGUCGUGUAGGCGGGCCUGCAAGUCAGAUGUGAAAACCACGGGCUCAACCUGUGGCCUGCAUUUGAAACUGUAGUUCGUGAGUACUGGAGAGGCAGACGGAAUUCCUAGUGUAGCGGUGAAAUGCGUAGAUAUUAGGAGGAACACCAGGGGCGAAGGCGGUCUGCUGGACAGCAACUGACGCUGAGGCGCGAAAGCGUGGGGAGCAAACAGGAUUAGAUACCCUUGUAGUC